RNAcentral lists this ribosomal RNA (443 nucleotides) under uncultured bacterium. RNAcentral describes it as "partial 16S ribosomal RNA". It matches the Rfam family "Bacterial small subunit ribosomal RNA", at positions 338 to 795 of the family's 1533-position model. The record is from RNAcentral.
CCUACGGGAGGCAGCAGUGGGGGAUAUUGGACAAUGGGGGAAACCCUGAUCCAGCGACGCCGCGUGAGUGAAGAAGUAUUUCGGUAUGUAAAGCUCUGUCAGCAGGGAAGAAAGACAUGACGGUACCUGACCAAGAAGCCCCGGCUAACUACGUGCCAGCAGCCGCGGUAAUACGUAGGGGGCAAGCGUUAUCCGGAAUUACUGGGUGUAAAGGGAGCGUAGACGGUUAAGUAAGUCUGGAGUGAAAGGCCGGGGCCCAACCCCGGGACUGCUCUGGAAACUAUUGAACUUGAGUGCAGGGGAGGUAAGCGGAAUUCCUAGUGUAGCGGUGAAAUGCGUAGAUAUUAGGAGGAACACCAGUGGCGAAGGCGGCUUACUGGACUGUAACUGACGUUGAGGCUCGAAAGCGUGGGGAGCAAACAGGAUUAGAUACCCCGGUAGUC